Callithrix jacchus (white-tufted-ear marmoset) is the source of this 107-nucleotide small nuclear RNA. The record is from Ensembl. Lineage: Eukaryota; Metazoa; Chordata; Mammalia; Primates; Cebidae.
AUGCUCACUUUGGCAGCACAUAUAUGAAAAGUGGAACGAUACUGAGAAGAUUAGCAUGGCCCCUGUGCAACGAUGGCACGCAAAUUCGUGAAGCAUUCCAUAUUAAA